This 3892-nucleotide long non-coding RNA is filed under the name Anas zonorhyncha (Eastern spot-billed duck). RNAcentral describes it as "lncRNA (ENSAZOG00000000388.1)". Lineage: Eukaryota; Metazoa; Chordata; Aves; Anseriformes; Anatidae. The record is from RNAcentral.
AUGGGGGUGCAAAGACCCCUCACCUUAACCCAGGACCAGCCCUCCCCAAAUCAGGACCCACACGAGGUUACCGCAGGUGGUGGGUGGGAUGUCCCCAUCAGCAUAGGACUCGUUGUCCUAAUUAUUAAUUUGUGGUUAAUUGGGGUGUGGAAAACCCGUGGUGUAGCUGAGCUGCGUGCUUCCCCUGCCCGGCCAGCAGACGUGGUGGGGUGUGAGGGUAGGCGAUGGGGACCGUGCCUGUCCCCACACAACCCCAACCCCAGUCAGGCUCCGUGUAGGGGCAGCGCAUCCCUGCCCUGCCAGCACUUCAGCUCCACCUCCCGGCCCCACAGCAGGGUUAGUGAAGGACACACGAGCCACUCGCCGCUUCAGAAACACAUUGCUGGUGGGGAACACAGGAGCAGGGGUGAGAUGCCCACAGCUGCCUGCCCACUCCGGGAGGUGGGAUGGCAUUUCCAUCUUCUCACACCAGUUUUGGACUGUGCCCAUGGGUCCAGACCCUGCCCCAGCACCCGAUGACGGCUGAGCAGAAGGGAGGGAGCUGCGGUGCUGGGAACAUCGCUCCCCACGGCGAAGGCACCAGCGCAUUGACAGGAUGCUCAGCACCUUGUAGAGCUGCCCCACUGAAGGCUGCAGGGCCAGAUUUUGGGGAGCAGAGCCCUCUUAGAGCCCUCUUACAACCCUAACAUCAAGAAUAUCAAUAGAGGGGGGGAGGAGAAGAGCUUCACCGUAUCUCACUGUAGCUACAGGAAUAGAGAGCAGUUUGUCCAAGCGAGUUUUCCAGUCCACAUGGGUCGAUAGUGGAUAGAAAGGUGCCACAAAAAGCGAUUGAUCCCAGCCCUGGGAGGUCCCAGGAGGGUGGGUGAUUCACCCUCCAGCAGCGCCUGCCUCCCUCCAGAGCAGGGGCGAUGGGUGGAAAGCACUUUGCAUCUUCUGACACCCAAAACUGAGGUGUCAGCAUCUUGGUGUGCACGGAGGGGGCUUGGUAACAGCUGAACGACGUGGGAUGGGUCCCACCGCUCAUACCUGGCACCCAUUCUCCAGGCUUUUGCACCUCUUUCAAAAAGUAGCAUUAACAUAACAAGGGAAUUCUGCAUCUCCCUGGCUGCAGCGUGAAUUACAGGCAUCUGAACAGCAUCAGCUGGUGGUUCCUGCCACAGCCGGACCACGGGAGCCGGGGGGAGAAGGUGACCAAGAAGCCACCGCAGGGCGAGCUGGAGAUCCCCAUGUCUUCCCAGCCCGAAGCUGGGUGCUCAGCACGCCCGCGAGGCUUCCUCCACGCCAGGGUGGGCUCCCACGAGAUUACCUGUGGCCUGGAGUCACCACACACCACCGAAAUUUUGUUUGCUGAAGUUUUCCCUCCCCGCCCCAAAACGCGCUCGCUGCCUGCACCCGGCUCCGUGCCACCCACACCAGCGCAACAGGGGAGAAUCAGCCUUAACCGGGACACGGCCAUCGGCAUUGCCACCCAGCCACAGCCUCGUAAUUACUCUGGAUUUCCAAAAUUUGUAGGUCUGGCGCGCACACAUGGAGCCAGGGCUGUCCUGGGGGGCAGCUCAGCUUUCUCAGCUUGGACACAGGCAAGAGAACCAAGUCCCGCUAAUAAUUUAAGAGCAUCAAUUAAUACAGUUUAAUAAAUACGUAAAAGGAUCUAGUUUUUCUUCUCUUUCCAUUCAUUUUCUAGCUUCAAUGAAAGUUAAGGGUGAUUGUCCCGUGAGUAACUAAGGCAAAUUUGUUUGUGUGUGUGUUUCUCCCUCCUUUUUUUUUUUUUUUGUUUUGUUUUUGUGUUUUUUUUUUUCCCCAUUGUUUUGUACGUAAAGCAAUCACAUAAAAAUAGUUAUAAAUAGAAAAAUUGCAAAUGUUUUCCCCCAUAGACAAAUAGAAAAAAAAAAAAAAGAAACAACAAACAAGUCGAGACAAAAAAAAAAACAAAAAAAACCACCUUGCUUCAAGUUCUUGUAGGUUAUACAGUACUUAGCUUCUUUGGAUGCUUUACAAUGACUCCAGAUCGUAGACAAAAAACACCUGAAGUAACCAGUCAUCUGCAAAACGUCGCUUGUGUAAGAAGUUGAUGCGGACUUAAAAAAAAAAAAAAAAAAAAAAGAGAGAGUUUGAUGCAGUUUUAGAAGUUCUCUCUUUUUUUUUUUUCUUCUAUUUUUUCUCCACCAAUUUGUUGCACACAGUCCCUGCAGAUUCCUUCCCGGGAGCAAGCAGCGGGCAGUUUGUGGCAGCGUUCGGCCACGCGUGGUCACAGCACGAGCAUCCCUGGUGGGGGCACGGGAGGGGAUGUGUCAGGCUCCCGUGGGGCGACCACCGUCCGGUCCCCACUUCAGAGCAGCAGCGUUGGCAGGCAAGCCAAGAACCUACAGAAAACGGACCUGCAGUCCUCUCGUUCCCUUUCAUCCUGCUGACGUUGAAAGGGAAAUGGUAAAUAUCUUGAAAGGUAAAGAAAUAAAGAAAAAGACGUAAUUUGUAACAUUUACAUUUUCGAGCACUGAUUUCGUGUAUGAUCACCCUACCAGGCGCCCGCAGGAAGCCAUCCUCUCAUCAGGCGGUGAUAUGGGGGUCCCACCACGUCCGAGAGGCAGACCGCCACCAAAAGCCUACAUUCUCAGAGGCAUCUCACAUUUUUAGGAGCUGCCAGGCCAAAGGAGGCUCACGGGGCGAUUCCAGCCCACUGCCACUUUUUGGCCUCGAAGGAGAGAGGGAAGAAAUAUCAGGUGGGGGUGGCUGGAGCAGGGUCUGCAGGAAGCCGGGGGGGGACCCCAGACCCAGCAGCCACCGUGGGCCUCCUCGAGCUCAGAGCAGCCCGUCGGACGCUAUCCCCUUGUCUUUUGAAGCAACAAAUGGAGAAGAAAUGUGAUUUCUACUUGCUUGCAAGUAGACAACCUUGCCUGCGAGAAAUCUUUAGUGGCCUCCUUUUCCCCUAAAGAUCCCCUCAGACCAGCAGCAGGAAAAUUUGCGCACCGAAUUUUUUUUCUGAUCAGCGUUGCAGAUUCAGGGACACCCAAGUGUUUUGUAAAAUUUUUGUCAUCAAAAUAUAUAUAGGAAUUAGGGGCGGAGGGGGGAGGGAUUAAGGACGAAAAUCCAGACACGGUCAGUGGCGGCAAAUUCUCACUGAGCUCUCCUGACUCUUUGGUUUGAAACGACUUUCUCAUUUCAACAUUCCCUCAUGGUUUCUUUUCCCAAAGCAAGGGUUUGAAAAAAAAAAAGCUCUGGAUCAAAACAUUUCUGAUCCUUCCAAAAAACUUUCUUCACCUUUUUAAGCAACUGAAGGUAAAAUGCUCAAAACAGGGUUUGAUUCUCUGUCUGAAGUUUAGAAAUGGCCAAAGAACCAAAGUAACAAAAUUCCCCUUUUCCACACAGGUUUUGUCUGGAGUGAUCUCCAAACAGUUUUUGUUUUUUUUUUGACUGUUCAGGGUCCCAAUGCGUACCGCACAGCCCCAUAAAGUCGAUCCCCUUUAUCUCUCCAGGCUGCGGCAGUGCGGAGCUGCCCCGCUCACCCCGCUCUUCCACCAAGACCCCUCUUGGAAUAAAGUGUUGUUUCCAGACACGGGAGUUUAACUGAAAAUAAAAAAACAAAAAGCAAUGACCUCCAAAAGUCCUUUUCGGCCAAAAGGGCCGAGGAAUGUAACAUAUCAAAACCAAGUCUGGACGGCUUGUGGGCGUCCAGUGCCCUCCGUGGGUCCCCCAGCAGUGGUCCCAGGGGGGGUGGCCAUGCCCCGGACUAAGGCAAGUGACAUUUUCGGGAGCGUUGAGGAGAGCAGCAGCCCUGGCAUGGCCUUCCUGGAUGGGGCCACCGAAUCUAAAGCGCUGGUGGCCACGGGUGGCAUCUGGCCGUGUCUGGCAUGGGGUCAGUUCUCUUGGUGGGCCUGCGGGGGGGGCGAGGAAG